GGCUUCAUGGCCCAAUGGAUAUGGCGUUGGUUUACAGAACUAGAGAUUUUGGGUUCGAUCCCCGGUGAAGUUG
This 73-nucleotide transfer RNA is filed under the name Ipomoea nil (Japanese morning glory). It matches the Rfam family "tRNA". Rfam says of the family: Transfer RNA (tRNA) molecules are approximately 80 nucleotides in length. Lineage: Eukaryota; Viridiplantae; Streptophyta; Magnoliopsida; Solanales; Convolvulaceae. The record is from Rfam by way of RNAcentral.